UGGGGGAUAUUGCACAAUGGGCGAAAGCCUGCUGCAGCGACGCCGCGUGGGGGAUGAAGGCCUUCGGGUUGUAAACUUCUUUUGCUCUGAACAAGGCAUGCCUUUGGGGUGUGUUGAGUGUAGGGGUUGAUUAGCGCCGGCUAACUACGUGCCAGCAGCCGCGGUAAUACGUAGGGCGCGAGCGUUGUCCGGAAUUAUUGGGCGUAAAGGGCUUGUAGGUGGCUGGUUGCGUCUGUCGUGAAAGCUCAUGGCUUAACUGUGGGUUUGCGGUGGGUACGGGCUGGGUUGGGUGCAGUAGGAGAGGGUGGAAUUCCUGGUGUAGCGGGGGAAUGCGCAGAUAUCAGGAGGAAUACCGGUGGCGAAGGCAGGUCUCUGGGCCGUUACUGAAGCUGAGGAGCGGAAGCGUGGGGAGCGAACAGG
RNAcentral lists this ribosomal RNA (420 nucleotides) under Fusobacteriota bacterium. Its description in RNAcentral is "Fusobacteria bacterium partial 16S ribosomal RNA". It matches the Rfam family "Bacterial small subunit ribosomal RNA", at positions 355 to 776 of the family's 1533-position model. The record is from RNAcentral. Lineage: Bacteria; Fusobacteriati; Fusobacteriota.